Molecule: ribosomal RNA, 416 nt
Filed under: uncultured bacterium
Lineage: Bacteria
Description: bacterial SSU rRNA
Rfam family: Bacterial small subunit ribosomal RNA
Source: RNAcentral
AUGGAUAGCGGCGGACGGGUGGAGUAACGCGUAGGUAAGCCUGCCCCGCACACAGGAAUAGCCUAGGGAAACCUGGAUUAAUGCCUGAUGACGCGGCGGAGUCACAUGGCUCUGCCGCCAAAGAUUUAUCGGUGUGGGAUGCACCUGCGUCUGAUUAGCUAGUUGGUGAGGUAACGGCCACCAAGGCGACGAUCAGUAGCCGACCUGAGAGGGUAAUCGGCCACAUUGGAACUGAGACACGGUCCAAACUCCUACGGGAGGCAGCAGUGAGGAAUAUUGCACAAUGGGGGAAACCCUGAAUGCAGCAACGCCGCGUGAGCGAAGAAGGUCUUCGGAUCGUAAAGCUCUGUCCUAAGGGACGAAGAAGUGACGGUACCUUAGGAGGAAGCCCCGGCUAACUACGUGCCAGCAGCAGC